Molecule: transfer-messenger RNA, 363 nt
Filed under: Shigella boydii
Lineage: Bacteria; Pseudomonadati; Pseudomonadota; Gammaproteobacteria; Enterobacterales; Enterobacteriaceae
Rfam family: transfer-messenger RNA
About the family: Bacterial tmRNA, also known as 10Sa RNA or SsrA, is named for its dual tRNA and mRNA-like properties. Its role is to liberate the mRNA from a stalled ribosome.
Source: RNAcentral
GGGGCUGAUUCUGGAUUCGACGGGAUUUGCGAAACCCAAGGUGCAUGCCGAGGGGCGGUUGGCCUCGUAAAAAGCCGCAAAAAAUAGUCGCAAACGACGAAAACUACGCUUUAGCAGCUUAAUAACCUGCUUAGAGCCCUCUCUCCCUAGCCUCCGCUCUUAGGACGGGGAUCAAGAGAGGUCAAACCCAAAAGAGAUCGCGUGGAAGCCCUGCCUGGGAUUGAAGCGUUAAAACUUAAUCAGGCUAGUUUGUUAGUGGCGUGUCCGUCCGCAGCUGGCAAGCGAAUGUAAAGACUGACUAAGCAUGUAGUACCGAGGACGUAGGAAUUUCGGACGCGGGUUCAACUCCCGCCAGCUCCACCA